RNAcentral lists this ribosomal RNA (466 nucleotides) under uncultured bacterium. Its description in RNAcentral is "partial 16S ribosomal RNA". It matches the Rfam family "Bacterial small subunit ribosomal RNA", at positions 28 to 507 of the family's 1533-position model. The record is from RNAcentral.
GACGAACGCUGGCGGCGCGCCUAACACAUGCAAGUCGAACGAGCGAGAGAGAGCUUGCUUUCUCAAGCGAGUGGCGAACGGGUGAGUAACGCGUGAGGAACCUGCCUCAAAGAGGGGGACAACAGUUGGAAACGACUGCUAAUACCGCAUAAGCCCACAGGUCGGCAUCGACCAGAGGGAAAAGGAGCAAUCCGCUUUGAGAUGGCCUCGCGUCCGAUUAGCUAGUUGGUGAGGUAACGGCCCACCAAGGCAACGAUCGGUAGCCGGACUGAGAGGUUGAACGGCCACAUUGGGACUGAGCCACGGCCCAGACUCCUACGGGAGGCAGCAGUGGGGAAUAUUGCACAAUGGGGGAAACCCUGAUGCAGCGACGCCGCGUGGAGGAAGAAGGUCUUCGGAUUGUAAACUCCUGUUGUUGAGGAAGAUAAUGACGGUACUCAACAAGGAAGUGACGGCUAACUACGUG